AAAAAGGUAAGCUAAAUAAGCUAAUGGGUUCAUACCCCGUCUAUAAAGGUCUCAACCCUUUCCUUUUUA
RNAcentral lists this transfer RNA (69 nucleotides) under Geoffmonteithia queenslanda. RNAcentral's name for it is "tRNA-Met". It matches the Rfam family "tRNA". Rfam says of the family: Transfer RNA (tRNA) molecules are approximately 80 nucleotides in length. Their secondary structure includes four short double-helical elements and three loops (D, anti-codon, and T loops). Further hydrogen bonds mediate the characteristic L-shaped molecular structure. tRNAs have two regions of fundamental functional importance: the anti-codon, which is responsible for specific mRNA codon recognition, and the 3' end, to which the tRNAs corresponding amino acid is attached (by aminoacyl-tRNA synthetases). tRNAs cope with the degeneracy of the genetic code in two manners: having more than one tRNA (with a specific anti-codon) for a particular amino acid; and 'wobble' base-pairing, i.e. permitting non-standard base-pairing at the 3rd anti-codon position. Lineage: Eukaryota; Metazoa; Arthropoda; Insecta; Coleoptera; Cerambycidae. The record is from RNAcentral.